Molecule: ribosomal RNA, 526 nt
Filed under: Fusarium cf. solani 13229
Lineage: Eukaryota; Fungi; Ascomycota; Sordariomycetes; Hypocreales; Nectriaceae
Description: eukaryotic LSU rRNA
Rfam family: 5.8S ribosomal RNA (bases 167-320)
Source: RNAcentral
GCGGAGGGAUCAUUACCGAGUUAUACAACUCAUCAACCCUGUGAACAUACCUAUAACGUUGCCUCGGCGGGAACAGACGGCCCCGUAACACGGGCCGCCCCCGCCAGAGGACCCCCUAACUCUGUUUCUAUAAUGUUUCUUCUGAGUAAACAAGCAAAUAAAUUAAAACUUUCAACAACGGAUCUCUUGGCUCUGGCAUCGAUGAAGAACGCAGCGAAAUGCGAUAAGUAAUGUGAAUUGCAGAAUUCAGUGAAUCAUCGAAUCUUUGAACGCACAUUGCGCCCGCCAGUAUUCUGGCGGGCAUGCCUGUUCGAGCGUCAUUACAACCCUCAGGCCCCCGGGCCUGGCGUUGGGGAUCGGCGGAAGCCCCCUGCGGGCACAACGCCGUCCCCCAAAUACAGUGGCGGUCCCGCCGCAGCUKCCAUUGCGUAGUAGCUAACACCUCGCAACUGGAGAGCGGCGCGGCCACGCCGUAAAACACCCAACUUCUGAAUGUUGACCUCGGAUCAGGUAGGAAUACCCGCUG